Molecule: ribosomal RNA, 492 nt
Filed under: uncultured bacterium
Lineage: Bacteria
Description: partial 16S ribosomal RNA
Rfam family: Bacterial small subunit ribosomal RNA
Source: RNAcentral
AGUGAACGCUGGCGGUAGGCCUAACACAUGCAAGUCGAACGGCAGCACAGUAAGAGCUUGCUCUUACGGGUGGCGAGUGGCGGACGGGUGAGGAAUACAUCGGAAUCUACUUUUUCUUGGGUGAUAACGUAGGGAAACUUACGCUAAUACCGCAUACGACCUACGGGUGAAAGCAGCGGAUCUUCGGACCUUGCGCGAUUGAAUGAGCCGAUGUCGGAUUAGCUAGUUGGCGGGGUAAAGGCCCACCAAGGCGACGAUCCGUAGCUGGUCUGAGAGGAUGAUCAGCCACACUGGAACUGAGACACGGUCCAGACUCCUACGGGAGGCAGCAGUGGGGAAUAUUGGACAAUGGGCGCAAGCCUGAUCCAGCCAUACCGCGUGGGUGAAGAAGGCCUUCGGGUUGUAAAGCCCUUUUGUUGGGAAAGAAAAGCAGCAGGUUAAUACCCCGCUGUUCUGACGGUACCCAAAGAAUAAGCACCGGCUAACUUCGUG